CAGCCGCCGCGGUAAUACGAAGGGGACUAGCGUUGUUCGGAAUUACUGGGCGUAAAGCGCACGUAGGCGGAUAUUUAAGUCAGGGGUGAAAUCCCAGAGCUCAACUCUGGAACUGCCUUUGAUACUGGGUAUCUUGAGUAUGGAAGAGGUGAGUGGAAUUCCGAGUGUAGAGGUGAAAUUCGUAGAUAUUCGGAGGAACACCAGUGGCGAAGGCGGCUCACUGGUCCAUUACUGACGCUGAGGUGCGAAAGCGUGGGGAGCAAACAGGAUUAGAUACCCCUGUAGUCCCUGUCUCUUAUCC
Molecule: ribosomal RNA, 301 nt
Filed under: uncultured bacterium
Lineage: Bacteria
Description: partial 16S ribosomal RNA
Rfam family: Bacterial small subunit ribosomal RNA
Source: RNAcentral